RNAcentral lists this ribosomal RNA (422 nucleotides) under uncultured bacterium. RNAcentral's name for it is "bacterial SSU rRNA". It matches the Rfam family "Bacterial small subunit ribosomal RNA", at positions 355 to 774 of the family's 1533-position model. The record is from RNAcentral.
UAAGGAAUAUUGGUCAAUGGAGGCAACUCUGAACCAGCCAUGCCGCGUGAAGGAUUAAGGCCCUCUGGGUUGUAAACUUCUUUUAUAUGGGAAGAAAUGUACUUUUUCUAAAGUGCUUGACGGUACCAUAGGAAUAAGCACCGGCUAACUCCGUGCCAACAGCCGCGGCAAUACGGAGGGUGCAAGCGUUAUCCGGAUUUACUGGGUUUAAAGGGUGCGUAGGCGGAUGAAUAAGUCAGUGGUGAAAUCUCCGAGCUUAACUCGGAAACUGCCGUUGAUACUAUUUGUCUUGAAUAUUGUGGAGGUAAGCGGAAUAUGUCAUGUAGCGGUGAAAUGCUUAGAUAUGACAUAGAACACCAAUUGCGAAGGCAGCUUGCUACACAAUCAUUGGCGCUGAGGCACGAAAGCGUGGGGAUCAAACA